UAUAGCCUCAGAAGCACAGUGUUAGACAGACAGAAAAGUGUAUCGCACGGCGCACAGCGCAUAGCGUAAACUCGAAGUAUCGCAAACCGACCGAAUCGUCUCUAAACGCAAUCGACGAGCUACACAGCUGCUUGGCAUACACAGCAAGCCAAUAAAACACAAACUAAUUGAAAGCGUGUGAAGUAAUCGCAAAUUGAAUUUUGAAAACAGCAAAAAAUAAAAAGUAAAAAUAAAAAUCAACUAAAAUAAAGCGAGCAAUCAAGUUGAAAACUGAUUAUUUCGUAUAGAAAAAAAUUGUUUUCUGUUCAAGAAGUAGAACGAAGCGGGAUAGCUGUAAAACCCCAUUGUAUUGUUUUCUAUUCUAACUCUAUUCAUUGAUAUGGUGAUUUGAUGCUUGCUGUCUAUAACGGUAAAACGUUUUUUGUAAGCGACCAAAAAGUACAGUGAAGUCAUUAACAAAAAAAAAAAAAAAUAAGUUUUUUUUUUCUUUCGGUUGGUGCAUAUGCAACGUGAGGUGAAGUGAGCCCACGCAAAGUCGGAGGAAAACGUUGUGAAAUAGUUACGGUUUUUUCCGUUUGUUUUCUUCCAUUUUCCGCAUCUAUCUUGCAGCUGUCUUUUCUCUGAUAUUUUUCACUGAACUUGGCAGACUCUUCAAAGCUAUAUCUAGCUCUUUUCGCGUUUAGAAACAAAAAAAACCAAAGCAUAAGGGGAGUAUUGUGCUUCAGACGGAAAAAGAAUAUAAAUAAAAUAAAAAACGACAAGAAAAUAUUUUCUUCAACUUAGGCAAGAACUUUUACAACACAGCUGAGUUACUCGAAAUCUGCUGUGUCUUUGCUCGUAAACUUUGCAGUUAAAAUAAAGCCUCUCACUGAGUGACAUCAACGCGAAUCGUUCGUGAGCAGAUAUUGUAAACAAAUUUAACUACGAAAUAAUACGACAACAAAAGGAACAAAAACAACAAAGUAGUAGUACAACAUUGGAAGUAGCGCAUGAGAAGUAAUCUUUUUAGGUCAAUAAAUUAGGAAUCUCAACAAGCAACCAGGUGAAGUAGCAGAGGAAGGAAAUACGAAAAACGAAAUAAAAAGAAAGUAAAGUA
Ceratitis capitata (Mediterranean fruit fly) is the source of this 1096-nucleotide long non-coding RNA. RefSeq lists it as uncharacterized. Lineage: Eukaryota; Metazoa; Arthropoda; Insecta; Diptera; Tephritidae. The transcript has 5 exons. The record is from RefSeq and is a predicted model, not a curated record.